AACGAACGCUGGCGGCAGGCUUAACACAUGCAAGUCGAGCGCCCAGCAAUGGGAGCGGCGCACGGGUGAGUAACACGUGGGAACGUGCCCUAUGGUUCGGAAUAACGCAGGGAAACUUGCGCUAAUACCGGAUAAGCCCUUACGGGGAAAGGUUUAUCGCCAUUGGAGCGGCCCGCGUUGGAUUAGCUAGUUGGUGGGGUAAAAGCCUACCAAGGCAACGAUCCAUAGCUGGUUUGAGAGAACGACCAGCCACACUGGGACUGAGACACGGCCCAGACUCCUACGGGAGGCAGCAGUGGGGAAUCUUGGACAAUGGGGAACCCUGAUCCAGCCAUGCCGCGUGGUGAUGAAGGCCCUAGGGUUGUAAACUCUUUCGGCGGGGACGAUAAUGACGGUACCCGCAGAAGAAGCUCGGCUAACUUCGUGCCAGCAGCCGCCGU
Molecule: ribosomal RNA, 440 nt
Filed under: uncultured bacterium
Lineage: Bacteria
Description: bacterial SSU rRNA
Rfam family: Bacterial small subunit ribosomal RNA
Source: RNAcentral